This 305-nucleotide ribosomal RNA is filed under the name uncultured bacterium. RNAcentral describes it as "partial 16S ribosomal RNA". It matches the Rfam family "Bacterial small subunit ribosomal RNA", at positions 505 to 807 of the family's 1533-position model. The record is from RNAcentral.
ACAGCAGUCGCCACGGUAAUACAGAGGGUGCGAGCGUUAAUCGGAUUUACUGGGCGUAAAGCGUGCGUAGGCGGCUUUUUAAGUCGGAUGUGAAAUCCCUGAGCUUAACUUAGGAAUUGCAUUCGAUACUGGGAAGCUAGAGUAUGGGAGAGGAUGGUAGAAUUCCAGGUGUAGCGGUGAAAUGCGUAGAGAUCUGGAGGAAUACCGAUGGCGAAGGCAGCCAUCUGGCCUAAUACUGACGCUGAGGUACGAAAGCAUGGGGAGCAAACAGGAUUAGAUACCCGGGUAGUCCCUGUCUCUUAUAC